This 75-nucleotide transfer RNA is filed under the name Coxiella endosymbiont of Amblyomma nuttalli. RNAcentral describes it as "tRNA-Gln". It matches the Rfam family "tRNA". From Rfam's summary of the family: Transfer RNA (tRNA) molecules are approximately 80 nucleotides in length. Their secondary structure includes four short double-helical elements and three loops (D, anti-codon, and T loops). The record is from RNAcentral. Lineage: Bacteria; Pseudomonadati; Pseudomonadota; Gammaproteobacteria; Legionellales; Coxiellaceae.
UGGGGCGUCGCCAAGCGGUAAGGCACUGGGUUUUGAUCCCAGCACUUCCCAGGUUCGAAUCCUGGCGCCCCAGCC